CUGAGAACGUGCCGCCCUCCCUUUUGCGAUGUGCAAAGAUCGUGCGCAAGUCGUGCGUUUUUUGGAGCGCCAGUCACGUACGAGUCGUUCAAGGAAUCGAAGGAAUGUACUACGGGCGCUCGUAGGACUCCGCAGCAUGUCCGCAGCUGAUGGCUGACGCCCGUGGCUACCGACACGAGACCGGCUACCGACUGCGUGACAGUAUGAAAGGUCGAUCUUGGCCCACGACUGUAAAUGGAAAACCAAAAGUGGCGGUGGCGGUGUUCUCUGUCAGAGAAACAGCAAAAGUACUAUCGCACAACGAAACAUUGCACAACUGAAGCAUCGCCUGUGCCUCAUGCUGCUGUUUCAUCAAAGAUCAAGGUCAUCGCCCUUGGAGGGACUUUAUGCAUGGCAGCAUGGUUCGAGUUCCAC
This is a long non-coding RNA of Rhipicephalus sanguineus (brown dog tick), 414 nucleotides long. RefSeq lists it as uncharacterized. NCBI's taxonomy places the organism in Eukaryota, Metazoa, Arthropoda, Arachnida, Ixodida, Ixodidae. The record is from RefSeq and is a predicted model, not a curated record. The transcript has 3 exons.